AAGUCAUUUCAGCACUUCCAGUUCAGAGCUCACGGGCCAGACACGGAGGGCAGCCUCUCCCCGGGCAGACAGGCUGGCAGCAAGGCAGCGGAGCCGGAGCAAUCCCCCGGCCUGAGUGAGAGGAAGAUGAAGGUCCUGCUGACGCUGGCGGUGCUGUUUGCCUGCAGUGUGUUCGUGGCUCACGGGAAGCUCCCACGCAUGUUCACACCGGGACUCGAAGGAAGCACCGUAGGAAAUCUGACCGCCUACAGCUGUUACUCGGGAUGGGGCAGCAGCGGCACAUCGAGGGCUUCAGUGGACCGGUGCUGCUUGCUCCGUGCCUGCUGCUACGCCAAGCUGGCUGCACGGCGGUGCCGCGUGGGACCCAUCCAGCCCUUCUUGGUGCCCCGGGCAAGAAUCCCCACCUGCCGCUCCGGGACUUGGUGCCAGAGAGGUGCCUGCAGGUGCGAGCAGGCAGCCUGGCUCUGCCGGAUGCGUGGCCGGGGGAUGCUCCGGCGUCGCGGCAAGUGCCGGGGACGAGGCGGGCGGUGUUGAAGCAAAAAGGCUCUUUGCAAAACCACCUCCAGGCUGAUAAGUAAAAGGGACGGUGCGGAGCCGGGAGCAUUUCCCAGCCCUGGCGGGUCUCCUCCUCGGGGCUUUUUGGCUUUGACACGAGGACAACAACGCUCUGGUGAAGUUGCGUCAUUAUACACUGGAUCCGAGGAGGGAGAGCAGCGCAGAUGCAAUGUUUCAGCACAGAAAAACAAGGGAGGGGUGGACACCUGCGCUUCGUCGCUGCGAAGGGCGAGAUGGAAACCAGCGCGAGCCUCUGUGCUGACACUCAUUUCCCCUUGGCUCGAGCUCCCCGUGCAGCCUGUCAGCUCCCUCUGCUUUUUGCUUCACCGCAGAUUCACUUCCGUUGCUCCAAAAUAAAACCAGAGAGCAC
This 925-nucleotide long non-coding RNA is filed under the name Aquila chrysaetos chrysaetos. Its description in RNAcentral is "lncRNA (ENSACCG00020001256.1)". Lineage: Eukaryota; Metazoa; Chordata; Aves; Accipitriformes; Accipitridae. The record is from RNAcentral.